CUGCAACCUGAGAUCAGACGCGGUGACCUGCAGAAUUUAGGAAUAUUACAAAGCGGAGGAAAAUUAACAAGGAUUCCCUCAGUAACGGCGAGUGAAGAGAGAAGAUCCCAGUGCUGGAUUCCCAUCCGGCACAGGAAAUAUGGCACACAGAAGACCAACUCACUGGUGUCGCUCAGGGGGCCUUAGUCCUUUUGAUCGCGGCUCAACCCGCGGAUGGUGCUAGGCCGGUAGCUGCCCCCACCAUGCCAGGAUUGGGUCUUCUCAGAGUUGUGUUGCUGCAGCCCAAAGUGGGUGUUUAACCACAUGAAAGGCUAGACUGAUAGCCAACAAAGUACCUGUAAGGGAAAGUUGAAAAUAACUUACUUUGAAGAGAGAGUUCAAGAAGAUGUGAAACAUUUGAGAGGUAAACGGGUGGCGUCUGUGCAGUCCGCGCAGAGAAUUCAACAUGGCGGGCUGGUUGGUUGCCUGAAAUGGUGGAUUCCCUCACAGGACCACCACCUGGAUGCACCUGGUCCCCCGCAGGGUUCAUUUCCUCCAUGGCAGUGUACCGCUGUAACGGAGAGUGUUCACCAGGAAGAGUGAUUGGGGACCCCUCCUCCUGAAGUGACAGUCGACUCGGGUGCACUAUCCUCUGUGCACCCUCACUGUGACACACCACCGGGCAGGCAGGCCCAUGAAGGGCAUCAGGGGUCAGCGGUGAUGUCAGGUUACCCACCUGACUCGACUUGAAACACGGUCCAAGGAGUCAAACAAGUGCGCGAUUUGAAGGGCCGAACAAAACCAUGUGGCGCAAUGAAGGUGAGGGCCGGCAUGCACCGGCAGAGGUUGGAUCCCAUCGUAGAAUCGCGGUGGGCGCACUACCGGCCCAUCUCAGCGGCUUUUUCAGGAAGGUGGAUCAUGAGCGUGUGUGAUAGAACCUGAAAGAUGGUGAACUUUUAGGGCAAAGCCAGAGGAAACUCUCGUGGACGUCCGUAGUGGUCCUGAUGUGCAAAUCGGUCAUCUGACCAGAGUAUAGGGGCAAAAUACUAAUCAAACGCAGGUGGUUGGCAUUCAGAAUCCCCAGUUUCAUCUGGUAAAGUGAAUAAUUAGAGUUCUUGGGGCCGAGACGAUCUCAACCUAUUCCCAAACCUUUUUAUUUUUCUAAACCUUUAUUUUAACUUACACAGGUACAUGGCAUUAACUUUUAUACAAAAUGAUACUUCUUAUAUGGCGUCAUUACAUCUCCUAGUUUAUACAUGUUUGUUAUUACACAUACGCAACUUCUUCCUCAUCAAUACUGUCUGAGAGAUAUUGUUUGUAUCUGUCCCAAAUAUUCCUAGGGCGAGUUGUAACAUGCAUUAGUUCAAUGUACAUUUCUUCAUUGUCAUUCACCCAAAGCAAGAAGCCAGCUCACUGGCGUGAAACAGGGCAUUAGAGCGCCCAAUGCCAACACUCAUCAGAUCCCAGAAAAGGUGUUGGUUGAUAUAUACAGUAGGAUGAUGGCCAUGAAAGUCGGAAUCCGCUAAGGAGUGUGUAACAACUCACCUGCCGAAUCAACAAACCCCGAUAAUGGAUGGUGCUGGAGUGUUGGGCCUCUAUCUGGCUGUCGCUGACACUGAGAGCCCUGGUGGCUAAACCACGAUGAGUAGGAGGGCCGCUGCUGUGUGGCACGAAGGCCCGGGUGAGGUCCCGGUUGGAGCCUGUGCAGGUGGAGAUCUUGGCGGUAGUAGAAAAAAUUCAAACAAGAACAUUGAAGGCUGAAGUGGAGAAGGGUUCCAUGAGAACAGCAGCCAGUCUAUACUAAGAGAUGGGCGAGCGCCUUUCGGAAGGGCAGGCGAUGGCCUCCGGUUCACUCAGCUGAUCGAAAGGGAGUCAAAAUGCCUGAACCUGGAGUGGCGGAGAUGGGUGCCCUUGCGGCAUCCAGUCCAGUAACGCAAAUGAUCCCAGAGAAGCCGGCACCCUGGAAUGGGUUUGCCCUGAGAGAAGGGCCUGAGCCUUGGAAAGCGUUGCUGUUCCAGCAGCAUCCAGUGAGCUCCCGCUGGUCCUUGAAAUAUCUGGGGAGAUGGUGAACUACCUCUGGCAUGUUGGAACGAUGUAGGUAAGGGAAGUUGGCAAGUCAAAUUUAAAACUUCAGGUUAAGAGCUGGGUCUGUCAGGCGCAUGCUGCGGCUGUGGGGUGUGAAGCGGGGCUGGACACAUGCUGUGGCUGGGCGAGCUAUCUCCCCCCGUGGGUGGGGCCCAAGCUGGACAUGAGCUGGGCCUUUCCUGUGGAUCGUCCCAGCUGCAGUGGUUGCCUCUCUCCAUUUCCCUCCUGAGGCUUGGGGCCGGCGUUCUGCCUCAGCCGAUGCCUAGCAGCUGACUUAGAACUCGUGUGGACCAGGGGAAUCCGACGGUUUAAUUAAAAAAAGCAUUGCGAAGGCCCACAGCGGAUGUUGACGCAAUGUGAUUUCUGCUCAGUGCUCUGAAUGUCAAGGUAAAGAAAUUCAAUGAAGCACAGGUAAAGGGCAGGUAUGACUCUCUAAAGGUAGCAAAAUUCCUCAUCAUUUAAUUAGUGACACGCAUGAAUGGAUGAAUGAGUUUCCGAAACCACAGCCAUGGGACCGGGCUUGGUGUAGGAAAAGUGAGAAAGCCUUGGGCUGCCAGUGAAAUACCACUAGUCUUAUCAUUUUCUCACCUACCCGGUGAAGCAGGGCAGCAAGCCCCCUGGGGCUCCUGCUUAUGGCUCCAAGUACCUGGCACCCGCUGGAAGCAACCCACUCAGUGGCAGUGGCAAAUGGGGAGUUUGACUGGGGCGAUACACCUGACAAACGAUAACGCAGAUGUCCUAAGGGCAAAAGCUUGCUUGAUCUCAAUGUUCAGUAUGAAUACAGACCAUGAAAGCAGUGCCUCACAAUCCUUGUGACUUUUUGGGUUUCAAGCAGGAGGUGUCAGAAAUGUUACCAGAGGGAUAACUGGCUUGUGGCAGCCAAGCGUUCAGAGUGAAGUCGAUUUUGAUCCUUCGAUUUCGACUCUUCCUAUCAUUGUGAAGCAGAAUUCAUCAUGCAUUGGGUUGUUCAGCCAAUAAUAGAGAAUGUGAGCAGCAUUCAGACCGUUGUGAGACAGGUUAGUUGUACCCUACUGAUGAUGCGUUGCAAUGGUCAUCCGGCUCAGUACAAGAGGAACUGUGGAUUGGGACAUGUGCUGUUUGUGCUUGGCUGAGAAGCCAAUGGGGCGAAGCUACAAUCUGUGGGAUUAUGACUGAACACUUCUAAGUGAGAAUACCCCCUAAACCAUAAUGAUACUUCAGUGCUGUAGAGCCUCAGUUGGCCUAGGAUAGCCAGCCUCUGGGCCCUUGCGUAGAGCCGGUCACCUCAGCACUUGAGUUUGGACAGAAGGGGGCCACCUCU
RNAcentral lists this ribosomal RNA (3364 nucleotides) under Ambystoma mexicanum (axolotl). RNAcentral describes it as "eukaryotic LSU rRNA". It matches the Rfam family "Eukaryotic large subunit ribosomal RNA". Lineage: Eukaryota; Metazoa; Chordata; Amphibia; Caudata; Ambystomatidae. The record is from RNAcentral.